This 923-nucleotide ribosomal RNA is filed under the name uncultured bacterium. RNAcentral describes it as "bacterial SSU rRNA". It matches the Rfam family "Bacterial small subunit ribosomal RNA", at positions 8 to 920 of the family's 1533-position model. The record is from RNAcentral.
AGAGUUUGAUCCUGGCUCAGAUUGAACGCUGGCGGCAUGCCUAACACAUGCAAGUCGAACGGAAACGAUGCUAGCUUGCUAGCAGGCGUCGAGUGGCGGACGGGUGAGUAAUGUAUAGGGAUCUGCCUAGUAGUGGGGGACAACAUGUGGAAACGCAUGCUAAUACCGCAUACGCUCUACGGAGGAAAGUGGGGGACCUUUCGGGGCCUCAUGCUACUAGAUGAACCUAUAUUGGAUUAGCUUGUUGGUAAGGUAAUGGCUUACCAAGGCGACGAUCCAUAGCUGGUUUGAGAGAAUGAUCAGCCACACUGGGACUGAGACACGGCCCAGACUCCUACGGGAGGCAGCAGUGGGGAAUAUUGCACAAUGGAGGAAACUCUGAUGCAGCAAUGCCGCGUGUGUGAAGAAGGCCUUAGGGUUGUAAAGCACUUUCAGACGUGAGGAAAAGUAAUAAUUUAAUAAAUUAUUGCCUUGACGUUAACGUCAGAAGAAGGACCGGCUAACUCCGUGCCAGCAGCCGCGGUAAUACGGAGGGUCCAAGCGUUAAUCGGAAUUACUGGGCGUAAAGCGCGCGUAGGCGGAUAUUUAAGUCAGAUGUGAAAUCCCUGGGCUCAACCUAGGAACUGCAUUUGAUACUGGAUAUCUAGAGUAUGGUAGAGGUGAGUGGAAUUUCAGGUGUAGCGGUGAAAUGCGUAGAGAUCUGAAGGAACAUCAGUGGCGAAGGCGACUCACUGGGCCAUUACUGACGCUGAGGUGCGAAAGCGUGGGUAGCAAACAGGAUUAGAUACCCUGGUAGUCCACGCCCUAAACGAUGUCAACUAGGUGUAUGGGAGUUUAACUCCUGUGUAUCGAAGCUAACGCGAUAAGUUGACCGCCUGGGGAGUACGGUCGCAAGACUAAAACUCAAAUGAAUUGACGGGGCC